ACGGAGGGUCCGAGCGUUAAUCGGAAUUACUGGGCGUAAAGCGUGCGCAGGCGGUUUGUUAAGCGAGAUGUGAAAGCCCUGGGCUCAACCUAGGAAUAGCAUUUCGAACUGGCGAACUAGAGUCUUGUAGAGGGGGGUAGAAUUCCAGGUGUAGCGGUGAAAUGCGUAGAGAUCUGGAGGAAUACCGGUGGCGAAGGCGGCCCCCUGGACAAAGACUGACGCUCAUGCACGAAAGCGUGGGGAGCAAACAGG
RNAcentral lists this ribosomal RNA (252 nucleotides) under uncultured bacterium. RNAcentral describes it as "partial 16S ribosomal RNA". It matches the Rfam family "Bacterial small subunit ribosomal RNA", at positions 525 to 776 of the family's 1533-position model. The record is from RNAcentral.